This 28-nucleotide small RNA is filed under the name Bombyx mori (domestic silkworm). Its description in RNAcentral is "ovarian small RNA-26276". Lineage: Eukaryota; Metazoa; Arthropoda; Insecta; Lepidoptera; Bombycidae. The record is from RNAcentral.
UCAUGUAUUGCAGAGAGUUCAUGACCUC